RNAcentral lists this transfer RNA (67 nucleotides) under Certhia himalayana. RNAcentral describes it as "tRNA-Cys". The record is from RNAcentral. Lineage: Eukaryota; Metazoa; Chordata; Aves; Passeriformes; Certhiidae.
GACUCUGUAGUGAAGUUCAUGGUGGGUUGCAAGCUCAUCGAUGCAUACUAAUUGUGUGCCGGGGUCU